UCCGAUUGUUCUCAGUCCGACU
Molecule: microRNA, 22 nt
Filed under: Euprymna scolopes
Lineage: Eukaryota; Metazoa; Mollusca; Cephalopoda; Sepiida; Sepiolidae
Description: Esc-Mir-12513_5p (mature (guide))
Source: RNAcentral